This 82-nucleotide transfer RNA is filed under the name Nitzschia alba. RNAcentral describes it as "tRNA-Tyr". It matches the Rfam family "tRNA". From Rfam's summary of the family: Transfer RNA (tRNA) molecules are approximately 80 nucleotides in length. Their secondary structure includes four short double-helical elements and three loops (D, anti-codon, and T loops). Further hydrogen bonds mediate the characteristic L-shaped molecular structure. tRNAs have two regions of fundamental functional importance: the anti-codon, which is responsible for specific mRNA codon recognition, and the 3' end, to which the tRNAs corresponding amino acid is attached (by aminoacyl-tRNA synthetases). tRNAs cope with the degeneracy of the genetic code in two manners: having more than one tRNA (with a specific anti-codon) for a particular amino acid; and 'wobble' base-pairing, i.e. permitting non-standard base-pairing at the 3rd anti-codon position. The record is from RNAcentral. Lineage: Eukaryota; Bacillariophyta; Bacillariophyceae; Bacillariales; Bacillariaceae.
GAGUCGGUGUCCGAGUGGUUAAAGGAGACGGAUUGUAAAUCCGUUGUAUUCUACUACGUUGGUUCAAAUCCAACUCGACUCA